RNAcentral lists this ribosomal RNA (431 nucleotides) under uncultured bacterium. RNAcentral describes it as "partial 16S ribosomal RNA". It matches the Rfam family "Bacterial small subunit ribosomal RNA", at positions 338 to 795 of the family's 1533-position model. The record is from RNAcentral.
CCUACGGGAGGCUGCAGUGGGGAAUUUUUGGCAAUGGGGGAAACCCUGACCAAGCAACGCCGCGUGGAUGAUGAAGUAUCUCGGUACGUAAAAUCCUUUCGACAGGGAAGCGGUACCUGUAGAAGAAGCCCCGGCUAACUCCGUGCCAGCAGCCGCGGUAAUACGGGGGGGGCAAGCGUUGUUCGGAAUUACUGGGCGUAAAGGGCGCGUAGGCGGUUUGCUAAGUUGGACGUGAAAACUCUGGGCUUAACCCAGAGACUGCAUUCAAAACUGGCAAGCUAGAGUAUUGGAGGGGGAAGCGGAAUUCCUGGUGUAGCAGUGAAAUGCGUAGAUAUCAGGAGGAACACCGGUGGCGAAGGCGGCUUCCUGGACAAACUGACGCUGAGGCGCGAAAGCUAGGGGAGCAAACAGGAUUAGAUACCCUUGUAGUC